Leptidea sinapis is the source of this 456-nucleotide long non-coding RNA. RefSeq lists it as uncharacterized. NCBI's taxonomy places the organism in Eukaryota, Metazoa, Arthropoda, Insecta, Lepidoptera, Pieridae. The transcript has 3 exons. The record is from RefSeq and is a predicted model, not a curated record.
GACUUCCAUAGUGUGUGGUGAAAGACCCGAGCCAACCAGCAGUAUACGCAUUGAUAUCACCAACGGCUACGACUUCAGGAAACCUGUGCAUGAACUUCAUCAAUACCUGGAAACAAACGCGUAGACUUGAAUGUGGUUCUCGAAAUCUAUGCGCACCAGUAGAGAAAAUAGAAGCUCAAUUUGAUUACCGAGAAUACGAUGGGCAGAAAGAAAGAUAUUGUUCGCUGAGGCAUUCUUCGAACCUAAAGUGGCAGUAUUUUGCGGAACAUCUGUAGUUGUAGGUGAAUGAAUAGAACCAGUGACUAGAAUGUCACUGGUCAUUAAAUGUUACUUGUGAGAGUGAUACAAUAUUGCGAGGUACGCUCAUUUAUCAAAAACAAUAGCUUUGACAAGAUCUCAUCUGGCGUCUGAUAAGCGACGAGGCUGGCCAUAAAGUGUCCCUUUGUAUCUCUGUCA